This is a long non-coding RNA of Pristis pectinata (smalltooth sawfish), 493 nucleotides long. RefSeq lists it as uncharacterized. NCBI's taxonomy places the organism in Eukaryota, Metazoa, Chordata, Chondrichthyes, Rhinopristiformes, Pristidae. The record is from RefSeq and is a predicted model, not a curated record. The transcript has 3 exons.
CCCUGAUCAACACGGGGAAAGCAGCCAAGGCAUAUUUGUGAGGUUGUGCUGGAGGUCACAAGCAAUCACACUCUUAAGACGAAGGAUGUAAUUUGAAUGCUUAUACUUUAAAUAAUGCAGUUUCAGGAAAACGGGGCAGUGAAACUUUGCUAAUCUCUUCUCCAGUUCACCGGCAGCAUUUGUGGCAUGACUCCAGGCAGUCUUUCUGAUACUGCUGUGACUAUGACUCAGGAUCACACUGCUCAUCCAGGAUACACCAGAGAAAAUCAAAGCUCAGUUCUGUGCUGUCAUAUACACAUUUGAUCGAGGAGAUGCUUGAAGACCACCAGUGAAGAUAUCACCCAUCAUCGGCACAAACCAUGUGCUGCUACCCUCACUUUUCCAUCCCCUGAAUGAAUAAACAGAGUAUUUUAGGCACAAGGGUAAUUGUUGCAGAUUUAACUACAGCACCCUCUGGGGGAACUGCAAUUCUUUACGGCUGUUCUGUGUUAAA